This 252-nucleotide ribosomal RNA is filed under the name uncultured bacterium. Its description in RNAcentral is "partial 16S ribosomal RNA". It matches the Rfam family "Bacterial small subunit ribosomal RNA", at positions 524 to 773 of the family's 1533-position model. The record is from RNAcentral.
UACAGAGGGGCAAGCGUUGUUCGGAAUUACUGGGCGUAAAGGGCGCGUAGGCGGCCUUCUAAGUCGAACGUGAAAUCCCCGGGCUCAACCCGGGAACUGCGUCCGAUACUGGAAGGCUUGAAUCCGGGAGAGGGAUGCGGAAUUCCAGGUGUAGCGGUGAAAUGCGUUGAGAUCGGAAAGGAACGCCCGUGGCGAAAGCGAAGGUCCUGGACGUUUACUGACGCUGAGACGCGAAAAGCCAGGGGAGCCGAA